UAUGUUUAGCUUUUCAGUUUCUUCCCAAUUUUAAAAAAAGCAAGAGAAAGAGCUCUCUCCUCACUGCUAGUGCUGCUGACUCUGCAUGCAUACAGGUGUUUUGGCAUUAACCUUUUGCUAUAGAGAUGUAUAACAUGAAAUGAUAAUUCUGUUUCACUUAUUUGUAUCUAAUAGUUUCUUCUAUGACAUAGUAACAUAAAAGUCGUGACAGUGACUUCAAUUGCACAAAUGCUGCAUUAGACUGGAUUGCUUGACUAGUUCUUGGUAAGGCAGGUUUAACUAGUUUGACCUCAAGAAUAAAGAGUAACAAGAACAGUUCAAAAUUCUUUACAGUUAAUCCACCAAACCCUCCUUGAUUUACAGACCAAACCUGGCCCUAUGGCUUUGUGCUAGAAUGGGUGCACGCACAUCCCAG
RNAcentral lists this unclassified non-coding RNA (415 nucleotides) under Hevea brasiliensis (rubber tree). The record is from RNAcentral. Lineage: Eukaryota; Viridiplantae; Streptophyta; Magnoliopsida; Malpighiales; Euphorbiaceae.